This 156-nucleotide small nuclear RNA is filed under the name Naja naja (Indian cobra). RNAcentral's name for it is "U2 spliceosomal RNA (ENSNNAG00000007827.1)". The stretch from base 1 to 84 matches the Rfam family "U2 spliceosomal RNA". Rfam says of the family: U2 is a small nuclear RNA (snRNA) component of the spliceosome (involved in pre-mRNA splicing). Lineage: Eukaryota; Metazoa; Chordata; Lepidosauria; Squamata; Elapidae. The record is from Rfam by way of RNAcentral.
AUUACUUCUCGGCCUUUUGGCUAAGAUCAAGUGUAGCAUCUUAGGUAAGGGCAUAAGCAAUAAAACAGCUUAAAUGGAACUUAACACGCAGUCCUGGUUUUUUCCCCUAACAUUUGAGGUGCUCUGUUGUAAUUUUGAGCAAUUGUUAAGUGACUG